RNAcentral lists this ribosomal RNA (497 nucleotides) under uncultured bacterium. Its description in RNAcentral is "partial 16S ribosomal RNA". It matches the Rfam family "Bacterial small subunit ribosomal RNA", at positions 28 to 507 of the family's 1533-position model. The record is from RNAcentral.
GAUGAACGCUGGCGGCGUGCCUAAUACAUGCAAGUCGAGCGAACAGACGAGGAGCUUGCUCCUCUGACGUUAGCGGCGGACGGGUGAGUAACACGUGGAUAACCUACCUAUAAGACUGGGAUAACUUCGGGAAACCGGAGCUAAUACCGGAUAAUAUAUUGAACCGCAUGGUUCAAUAGUGAAAGACGGUUUUGCUGUCACUUAUAGAUGGAUCCGCGCCGCAUUAGCUAGUUGGUAAGGUAACGGCUUACCAAGGCGACGAUGCGUAGCCGACCUGAGAGGGUGAUCGGCCACACUGGAACUGAGACACGGUCCAGACUCCUACGGGAGGCAGCAGUAGGGAAUCUUCCGCAAAGGGCGAAAGCCUGACGGAGCAACGCCGCGUGAGUGAUGAAGGUCUUCGGAUCGUAAAACUCUGUUAUUAGGGAUGAACAAAUGUGUAAGUAACUAUGCACGUCUUGACGGUACCUAAUCAGAAAGCCACGGCUAACUACGUG